GGUGAGCUGUGUGAAAAACGGCGAGGGUGUGUGCCCUGGGGAAAAGAAAUUGCAGCGCGUCUCCAUGGUAACGCGGUUUAAUGAAUCGUCUGGCAGCCGACAUACAGAGACAGACAGCCAUAUUGGUUGUGCGAAAGCUGUUGUUACUGCUUGCACCGAAACGUUUAAUGAAAAUGUUUCUCAUUAGUGUCUCUGUGCUCGUGUGUGUCUUGCCGUGUGCUGCUCGCUGGAAAAUGGAACGGAAAUGUAACACAUUUCUAAGUGAAUAGUGAGUUUUUGUAUACUUUUUUUUCUUCACUUUCUCGUGCUAAAUAAAGCAAUCUCUGAAGCAGAUCUGGCUGACGGUAAGGAUCGUGCCGCACGCUCGUUUAUCUUGUAAUGGGGGAGUGUGCUUAUUGCAUGUGAAUUCGGUAUAAGUCUUUGGCUUCGAGAUUGAACGGACAGGAAGUGGGGGCUUGUUUUUUUUAAAUUUUUUUGAAAGAGGUACGUAAAAAAAAAGCUUUUCCAAUAUCGAGUCCAGUGCACUUUCGUGACCGGUCCCGUGCAAUUGGAUGCUGACUUCAUGAUCUUCGUUUCCUCGAACGCGAUCCAAUAUCAAAAGGCGUCGUCGCGCGGGCAUGAUGCUCUUCUUUAGCAUGGUGCAUUGCCACUAAACUAUCUUCGGCCGAAUACCGAAAAUCCAAUAAACGUUCAAUAAAUUCCUUCUCACAUCGGUUGUGGAAUGUUGACACGCAGAGAAAAGCACCCACCCACAACACGCGCUUGGCGACGGAUUGCAAUUUAUCAUGCCGCGCCCGGCCCAGCCUGGGGAGAGGGAGUGUGCGCGUGAAGGUGGUGUUACCGGCGUUGGCUUGGAUUGCUUGGAUUUCGUCGUUCCUCGGCGAAAGCUGUCAAAUGUCAGGCCUCCGCCCCCUCCACGAAGUUAGGGUGACACGCGUAACAACGGACUCCUGCCAGGCCAGGGGCCGGUGCAUUCCUUCGCGAUGCAAACGAAGAUGGCACCCGGUGACAGUAGUUGGUGCAUUUCCCCAGUGUACAUGAACAGUAGGUGGCUUCGGGAAAAUUGCUCCUCUCUUCAGACAUGCUGGAUGCGCCAGCAUAUCAAAGACGAAUCGCAUCGUUCGAACGGCGAACCAAAUCAGGAAAAAUCAAUCUCCGAACUGAUCCAGCACGUGGAAUGCCCCCCUUUGCGUCGUCGCUCGUGAGAAAUUA
Molecule: long non-coding RNA, 1212 nt
Organism: Anopheles merus
Lineage: Eukaryota; Metazoa; Arthropoda; Insecta; Diptera; Culicidae
Exons: 3
Source: RefSeq, a predicted model, not a curated record